RNAcentral lists this ribosomal RNA (1145 nucleotides) under Vermiconidia foris. RNAcentral describes it as "LSU rRNA". It matches the Rfam family "Eukaryotic large subunit ribosomal RNA", at positions 66 to 1431 of the family's 3401-position model. The record is from RNAcentral. Lineage: Eukaryota; Fungi; Ascomycota; Dothideomycetes; Mycosphaerellales; Extremaceae.
CAACAGGGAUGCCUAGUAACGGCGAGUGAAGCGGCAACAGCUCAAAUUUGAAAUCUGGCGCAAGCCCGAGUUGUAAUUUGUAGAGGAUGCUUCGGGGCAGCGGCCGGUCUAAGUUCCUUGGAACAGGACGUCAUAGAGGGUGAGAAUCCCGUAUGCGACCGGCUGGCACCCCACACGUAGCUCCUUCGACGAGUCGAGUUGUUUGGGAAUGCAGCUCUAAAUGGGAGGUAAAUUUCUUCUAAAGCUAAAUACCGGCCAGAGACCGAUAGCGCACAAGUAGAGUGAUCGAAAGAUGAAAAGCACUUUGGAAAGAGAGUUAAAAAGCACGUGAAAUUGUUAAAAGGGAAGCGCUUGCAACCAGACUUGUCGACGGUGUUCCGCCGGUCUUCUGACCGGUUCACUCGUCGUCGGCAGGCCAGCAUCGUCUGGGGCCGCCGGAUAAAGGCUUGGGGAAUGUGGCUCCUCCGGGAGUGUUAUAGCCCCUCGCACAAUACGGCGCGCCUCGGGCGAGGUCCGCACUUUCGGUAAGGAUGCUGGCGUAAUGGUCGUAAGCGGCCCGUCUUGAAACACGGACCAAGGAGUCGAUCAAUCGUGCGAGUGUUCGGGUGAAAAACCCUUGCGCGCAAUGAAAGUGAACGGAGGCGAGAACUUCGGUGCAUCGUCGACCGAUCCAGAUGUCUUCGGAUGGAUUUGAGUAAGAGCAUGGCUGAUCGGACCCGAAAGAUGGUGAACUAUGCCUGAAUAGGGUGAAGCCAGAGGAAACUCUGGUGGAGGCUCGCAGCGGUUCUGACGUGCAAAUCGAUCGUCAAAUUUGGGUAUAGGGGCGAAAGACUAAUCGAACCAUUAACCUACUAGGUGGUUAAUCUGUCGGACAAACGACACAGGCGGCACAGGGGCCGCCGACACCGUCAAAUUGCGGGGACGCGCUGAGCGUUCUCGCCGGCCGCCGCCCUCGGAAACGGGGUGUACGGCGCGGCGUCCCUAACGGGAUGGCCACACGGCCGGCGCGAAAUUGGUUGACCCGCAGCCAAGUCCGCAGUCGCAGGGGGCGACCCGGACGCAGUUAACAGACUCGACGUCGGUGGGCCGGCGCACGGGGCGUCGGCUUGAGAUAGAGUCGGUUCGGCCGCGAGAGCGACCGAGGA